CCCUUAGAUGUUCUGGGCCGCACGCGUGCUACACUGAGUGGAUCAGCGGGUCAGGUUGCGCGAAAGCGUUUCCUAAUCUUUAAAUCCGCUCGUGAUGGGGAUUGACGGUUGCAAUUUUCUGUCAUGAACGAGGAAUACCUUGUAAGCGCGGGUCAUCAUCCCGCGCUGAAUACGUCCCUGCCCUUUGUACACACCGCCUGUCGCUCCUACCGAUUGAGUGGUCCGGUGAGGCUUUGGGAUCUGAGCGGAAAGAGCGUUUCGCUGUUUCUGCUCGGAAAACUCAGUCGAACCUUAUCAUUUAGAGGAAGGAGAAGUCGUAACA
RNAcentral lists this ribosomal RNA (322 nucleotides) under uncultured eukaryote. Its description in RNAcentral is "partial 18S ribosomal RNA". It matches the Rfam family "Eukaryotic small subunit ribosomal RNA", at positions 1470 to 1796 of the family's 1831-position model. The record is from RNAcentral.